Molecule: unclassified non-coding RNA, 28 nt
Filed under: Fasciola hepatica (liver fluke)
Lineage: Eukaryota; Metazoa; Platyhelminthes; Trematoda; Plagiorchiida; Fasciolidae
Source: RNAcentral
GGUUCUCUGCCCUGUAGAUUAGUGCAUG